CACAUUAAACACCGGUUCCUGUACGAUCAUCGAAGUGAAACAACGUCGAGCUUGGUCAGUACCUAGAUUAGUGACCGCUUGCGAAUAUCAGGUGCU
Molecule: non-coding RNA, 96 nt
Organism: Acanthosepion pharaonis
Lineage: Eukaryota; Metazoa; Mollusca; Cephalopoda; Sepiida; Sepiidae
Source: the annotation of a GenBank genome assembly